CAGUAGCCGCGGGAAUACGUAUGUCACAAGCGUUAUCCGGAUUUAUUGGGCGUAAAGCGCGUCUAGGUGGUUAUGUAAGUCUGAUGUGAAAAUGCAGGGCUCAACUCUGUAUUGCGUUGGAAACUGUGUAACUAGAGUACUGGAGAGGUAAGCGGAACUACAAGUGUAGAGGUGAAAUUCGUAGAUAUUUGUAGGAAUGCCGAUGGGGAAGCCAGCUUACUGGACAGAUACUGACGCUGAAGCGCGAAAGCGUGGGUAGCAAACAGGAUUAGAUACCCCUGUAGUCCCUGUCUCUUAUACC
This 301-nucleotide ribosomal RNA is filed under the name uncultured bacterium. RNAcentral describes it as "partial 16S ribosomal RNA". It matches the Rfam family "Bacterial small subunit ribosomal RNA", at positions 509 to 808 of the family's 1533-position model. The record is from RNAcentral.